RNAcentral lists this ribosomal RNA (240 nucleotides) under uncultured Marinilabiliaceae bacterium. Its description in RNAcentral is "partial 16S ribosomal RNA". It matches the Rfam family "Bacterial small subunit ribosomal RNA", at positions 796 to 1041 of the family's 1533-position model. The record is from RNAcentral. Lineage: Bacteria; Pseudomonadati; Bacteroidota; Bacteroidia; Marinilabiliales; Marinilabiliaceae.
CACGCUGUAAACGAUGAUUACUGGUUGUUUGCGAUACACGGCAAGUGACUGAGCGAAAGCAUUAAGUAAUCCACCUGGGGAGUACGUCGGCAACGAUGAAACUCAAAGGAAUUGACGGGGGCCCGCACAAGCGGAGGAACAUGUGGUUUAAUUCGAUGAUACGCGAGGAACCUUACCUGGGUUUAAAUGGGAAGUGACAGGCUUGGAAACAGGCCCUUCUUCGGACACGUUUCAAGGUGC